RNAcentral lists this ribosomal RNA (253 nucleotides) under uncultured bacterium. RNAcentral describes it as "partial 16S ribosomal RNA". It matches the Rfam family "Bacterial small subunit ribosomal RNA", at positions 524 to 776 of the family's 1533-position model. The record is from RNAcentral.
UACGUAGGGGGCAAGCGUUGUCCGGAUUUAUUGGGCGUAAAGAGCGUGUAGGCGGCCAUACAGGUCAGCUGUGAAAACUCGAGGCUCAACCUCGAGACGUCGGUUGAAACCGUAUGGCUAGAGUCCGGAAGAGGAGAGUGGAAUUCCCGGUGUAGCGGUGAAAUGCGCAAAUAUCGGGAAGAACACCUAUGGCGAAGGCAGCUCUCUGGGACGGUACUGACGCUGAGACGCGAAAGCGUGGGGAGCGAACAGG